CCCUUAGAUGUCCUGGGCCGCACGCGCGCUACACUGAUGCAUUCAACGAGUUUUACCUUGGCCGAGAGGCCUGGGCAAUCUUUUGAACCUGCAUCGUGAUAGGGAUAGAUUAUUGCAAUUAUUAAUCUUGAACGAGGAAUUCCUAGUAAACGCAGAUCAUCAAUCUGCAUUGAUUACGUCCCUGCCCUUUGUACACACCGCCCGUCGCUCCUACCGAUUGAAUGGUCCGGUGAAAAUUUCGGAUAGUGACGAUGCUGGCGGUUCGCCGCCGGCGCUGUCGCUAGAAGAUCUUUAAACCUUAUCAUUUAGAGGAAGGAGAAGUCGUANCA
RNAcentral lists this ribosomal RNA (329 nucleotides) under uncultured eukaryote. RNAcentral describes it as "partial 18S ribosomal RNA". It matches the Rfam family "Eukaryotic small subunit ribosomal RNA", at positions 1470 to 1796 of the family's 1831-position model. The record is from RNAcentral.